UGACAUCGGAUCAGUCGUGAUUACAUGCUGAACUUAAGCAUAUCACUAAGAGGAGGAAAAGAUACUAACCAGGAUUCCCCUAGUAACGGCGAGUGAAGAGGGAUUAGAUCAGCACCGAAGCCCGGUAAGUUAACUGCUAGGAAAUUUGGUGUUUGGGUCAACUCGCGGGAUUUCCACUCCACUCGAAGACCAGCACUGGGUAUGGUGCCCUGGAUUUGGCCCAGAGAGGGUGAAAGGUUCGUGCGAGUGGAGUUAUGGACAUGUGAGGCAAUUCACCAGGUCAACCUUCGAGUCGGAUUGUGUGGGAAUGCAGCCCAAAGUGAUUGGUAAAAUCCAUCCUAGGCUAAAUUCAAGCACGAGUCCGAUAGCGAACAAGUACCGUGAGGGAAAGUUGAAAAGUUUUUUGAAGAGAGAGAGCGAGAGAGAGUAAACAGUACUUGAAACUGCAUAUCGGUAAAGUGGCGGCCUCAAGCUGUAAACCUAGAGGAUUCAGUUGGUUGGGGUGUAUGCGCGCCUGGCACGUCUUUCGGACGGACAGUUCACUACGAAAAGGUGGGCCUGGCAGUCCCUCGGUAGGGAGAGGAUUGGCGUUCCGGGAAGUUGCCGGAGCCGACUGUUUUGGCUGUCUGCGCAUAAUGUGGAUGGAUCAGCCAAUGCACUUCCUCUAUCUGGUGAUCACCAUGACUGGUGGAACUGCCAGUCUGCCGUAGUCAAAUCGGGUUUGGUCGGUGGCUCCUCUGGGGUCGUUGGCUGAGCCUUGAUCAUCACAGGCAAAUUCAGUGAGCGGCGUGUGUCGGCAUUACAUGCACACGUGUUACCGAGCACUGGUAGUCAACGGGUCUGUCUGUCAGUUGUGCUUUUGCAGUCACCGGCGGAUGUCCUGGUGGGCUAUGGUGGUAUGAAUAACUGUGCAGGGCACCAGAGUUGUCGGUCUCUAGUUUCUGGCUCGUGCGCACACUGCAUGUGGGCGUGGGGUGUUGCUGCAGGCGGCCAAUAGCUGGGUCUGAUCGUCAUGUUGCCUGCGCAAAGUGGGUCCAGCGGUGGUCUGGUGUUGGAUGGCCUUAUCUGCGAUGCUUUCUGUACGAGUCGGCGCGGGCCAAACAGUCUGUGGUGUUGUGGUGGACGAGCUACCCGACCCGUCUUGAAACACGGACCAAG
RNAcentral lists this non-coding RNA (1158 nucleotides) under Schistocephalus solidus. Its description in RNAcentral is "Eukaryotic large subunit ribosomal RNA". It matches the Rfam family "Eukaryotic large subunit ribosomal RNA", at positions 1 to 670 of the family's 3401-position model. Lineage: Eukaryota; Metazoa; Platyhelminthes; Cestoda; Diphyllobothriidea; Diphyllobothriidae. The record is from Rfam by way of RNAcentral.